This 285-nucleotide unclassified non-coding RNA is filed under the name fungal sp. Its description in RNAcentral is "partial internal transcribed spacer region". The stretch from base 1 to 46 matches the Rfam family "Eukaryotic small subunit ribosomal RNA", at positions 1786 to 1831 of the family's 1831-position model. Lineage: Eukaryota; Fungi. The record is from RNAcentral.
AAGUCGUAACAAGGUAACCGUAGGUGAACCUGCGGUUGGAUCAUUAUAGAAAUGAUUACUUUUUAUUGAGGGAUUUCUUAUGGAAGUAAGAAUCACUCUUUACCCCAAAAAAUUAUGUUGUUAUGUUUUACCUUGGAAUUAUCUCUUUGAUUAUAGUAGAUUUAUUCUGCUAUAGUCAUUUAGAGUGGUUCCAAAUAUUUAUUUUAUAAACAUUUAAUUCUUUUUAUCUUUUUUUUUAAAAUAAUUAAAAAAAAACAACUUUUGACAAUGGAUCUCUUGGCUCUU